GCGGCUAUAGCUUAGUCGGUUAAAGCGCCUGACUGUGAAUCAGGAGAUCGAGGGUUCAAGUCCCUCUAGCCGCC
This 74-nucleotide transfer RNA is filed under the name Pyrinomonadaceae bacterium. RNAcentral's name for it is "tRNA-His". It matches the Rfam family "tRNA". Rfam says of the family: Transfer RNA (tRNA) molecules are approximately 80 nucleotides in length. Their secondary structure includes four short double-helical elements and three loops (D, anti-codon, and T loops). The record is from RNAcentral. Lineage: Bacteria; Pseudomonadati; Acidobacteriota; Blastocatellia; Blastocatellales; Pyrinomonadaceae.